Non-coding RNA from Podarcis lilfordi (Lilford's wall lizard), 554 nucleotides. The record is from the annotation of a GenBank genome assembly. NCBI's taxonomy places the organism in Eukaryota, Metazoa, Chordata, Lepidosauria, Squamata, Lacertidae.
AUGAGGCCGCCUAUGAAGGGUAAGAUCCUAUGGAGCACCAGGCAAGGUCUGGAGGACCAGGCUAGAGUACGAAACAACUCACAGCAAGCAGCAAGGUGCAGCUGCACGGAAACAGAAACUGAACUCCGAUAGGGAUGUCUCAAAAGUAAGUGGUCACCUUUUGUUGAAUACUUGUGACCAGGACUGGGGCAAGCACAGUCCUGUACAGCCUACUACAAACUGGACUUGCCUUGCCUUGAUUCUGCAAUCUGCCACCACAGACCACUUCCCCUGCCCCAAGCCAGCAAGCUUACCUUAUGGGCAGGGGAAGGCAGAGAAAAUGACAGGUGUUUCCAGCCCCCUAAGCAAGCUCUUUCUCAUCAGGCACUGGGUUUGGGAUUACAACUUCCACAAUCCCUGGAGGAAACGUUAUGCUCUCCGUGCCAUCUUGCCAAAACCAAUAGUGGAAGCUCUUUGGAGAACUACAUCUCCCAGCAACUUCUGGGCUUUCUACUCUGAGAGUCCAUUACCCAGCAUGUCAGAGAAAAAAGCAUGGAGAAAGAAGGAAAGAAGGG